Molecule: ribosomal RNA, 463 nt
Filed under: uncultured bacterium
Lineage: Bacteria
Description: partial 16S ribosomal RNA
Rfam family: Bacterial small subunit ribosomal RNA
Source: RNAcentral
CUACGGGAGGCUCCAGUGGGGAAUAUUGCACAAUGGGCGCAAGCCUGAUGCAGCCAUGCCGCGUGUAUGAAGAAGGCCUUCGGGUUGUAAAGUACUUUCAGCGAGGAGGAAGGGAGUAAAGUUAAUACCUUUGCUCAUUGACGUUACCCGCAGAAGAAGCACCGGCUAACUCCGUGCCAGCAGCCGCGGUAAUACGGAGGGUGCAAGCGUUAAUCGGAAUUACUGGGCGUAAAGCGCACGCAGGCGGUUUGUUAAGUCAGAUGUGAAAUCCCCGGGCUCAACCUGGGAACUGCAUCUGAACUGGCAAGCUUGAGUCUCGUAGAGGGGGGUAGAAUUCCAGGUGUAGCGGUGAAAUGCGUAGAGAUCUGGAGGAAUACCGGUGGCGAAGGCGGCCCCCUGGACGAAGACUGACGCUCAGGUGCGAAAGCGUGGGGAGCAAACAGGAUUAGAUACCCUAGUAGUC